RNAcentral lists this small nuclear RNA (153 nucleotides) under Neogale vison (American mink). RNAcentral's name for it is "Neovison vison (American mink) U4 spliceosomal RNA (ENSNVIG00000007342.1)". The stretch from base 1 to 71 matches the Rfam family "U4 spliceosomal RNA". The record is from RNAcentral. Lineage: Eukaryota; Metazoa; Chordata; Mammalia; Carnivora; Mustelidae.
AGCUUUGCACAGUGGCAGUAUCAUAGCCAAUGAGGUUUAUCCAAGGCGCGAUUAUUGCUAAUUGAAAAUGUGAUGACAGAUGUGAAGUAAAUAUAUUAUUUUUCUCGGGACCAUUUACAUUCUGAAGGAAUGUAAUACAGACCUUCCUUAGGU